GAUGAACGCUGGCGGCGUGCCUAAUACAUGCAAGUCGAGCGAACGGACGAGAAGCUUGCUUCUCUGAUGUUAGCGGCGGACGGGUGAGUAACACGUGGAUAACCUACCUAUAAGACUGGGAUAACUUCGGGAAACCGGAGCUAAUACCGGAUAAUAUUUUGAACCGCAUGGUUCAAAAGUGAAAGACGGUCUUGCUGUCACUUAUAGAUGGAUCCGCGCUGCAUUAGCUAGUUGGUAAGGUAACGGCUUACCAAGGCAACGAUGCAUAGCCGACCUGAGAGGGUGAUCGGCCACACUGGAACUGAGACACGGUCCAGACUCCUACGGGAGGCAGCAGUAGGGAAUCUUCCGCAAUGGGCGAAGGCCUGACGGAGCAACGCCGCGUGAGUGAUGAAGGUCUUCGGAUCGUAAAACUCUGUUAUUAGGGAAGAACAUAUGUGUAAGUAACUGUGCACAUCUUGACGGUACCUAAUCAGAAAGCCACGGCUAACUACGU
RNAcentral lists this ribosomal RNA (496 nucleotides) under uncultured bacterium. RNAcentral's name for it is "partial 16S ribosomal RNA". It matches the Rfam family "Bacterial small subunit ribosomal RNA", at positions 28 to 506 of the family's 1533-position model. The record is from RNAcentral.